RNAcentral lists this ribosomal RNA (527 nucleotides) under uncultured bacterium. Its description in RNAcentral is "bacterial SSU rRNA". It matches the Rfam family "Bacterial small subunit ribosomal RNA", at positions 777 to 1304 of the family's 1533-position model. The record is from RNAcentral.
AAUAGAUACCCCCGGUAGUCCACGCCGUAAACUAUGAGAGCUAGCCGUUGGGGGGUUUACCCUUCAGUGGCGCAGCUAACGCAUUAAGCUCUCCGCCUGGGGAGUACGGUCGCAAGAUUAAAACUCAAAGGAAUUGACGGGGGCCCGCACAAGCGGUAGAGCAUGUGGUUUAAUUCGAAGCAACGCGAAGAACCUUACCAGCCCUUGACAUGGCAGGACGAUUUCCGGAGACGGAUCUCUUCACUUCGGUGACCUGCACACAGGUGCUGCAUGGCUGUCGUCAGCUCGUGUCGUGAGAUAUUGGGUUAAGUCCCGCAACGAGCGCAACCCUCGCCUUUAGUUGCCAUCAUUUAGUUGGGCACUCUAGAGGGACUGCCGGUGAUAAGCCGGAGGAAGGUGGGGAUGACGUCAAGUCUUCAUGGCCCUUACGGGCUGGGCUACACACGUGCUACAAUGGCGGUGACAGAGGGCAGCUAGACCGCGAGGUCAUGCUAAUCCCUAAAAGCCGUCUCAGUUCGGAUUGCACU